Molecule: transfer RNA, 72 nt
Filed under: Ovis aries (sheep)
Lineage: Eukaryota; Metazoa; Chordata; Mammalia; Artiodactyla; Bovidae
Rfam family: tRNA
About the family: Transfer RNA (tRNA) molecules are approximately 80 nucleotides in length.
Source: Rfam by way of RNAcentral
UCCCUGGUGGCUCAGUGGUAAAGAAUCUGUUUGCCAGUGCAGGAGUUCCGGGUUCAAACCCUGGUUCGGGAA